This 701-nucleotide long non-coding RNA is filed under the name Equus asinus (donkey). RNAcentral describes it as "lncRNA (ENSEASG00005032258.1)". The record is from RNAcentral. Lineage: Eukaryota; Metazoa; Chordata; Mammalia; Perissodactyla; Equidae.
CGGCGCGGUCGUCGCACAGCCCACCGCCCUGUCGCGGUGCCUGGCGCGCCACCUGGGCGGGGAGCGGGGCAGCGGGGGUCCCCCCGGCGUCUGGCCCCCGGCGUCGGGGGCGCUGGCCUUCGUGCCCUCGGGUCGGCGGCCCCCGUCCCCGCUUGUCCCCUCCGCCGACCAGGGUCGUGUGCGCCGGGCCCCGUGUCCUCCCGGCGGCGGCGCGGGCGCUCCGGGCGGGACGGUGUGCGCAUUUCGCGAGGUCGGAGAAGUCUGGCUCUCCUAGCAGAAACCACCAGGAGCGCACUGCAGUGUGCCCCUCUCUCCUCCGGCCGCCUGACUUCCCUAAGGACUGUCCUCUGAUCUGCUUUCUGUGGAGAAGGGUCACUCGGAGGAUUUGAAAAGUGAGUUUGGUGGGUAUAGAAACUGAGUUUAAACUAUGCAAGGCUUUUUGGAGCUCAAGCAGGUAAGCCCUUCUGAGGUCUUGGAUUUGCCUUGAAGACUGCAGGCAGAUGGGUGGGGAAACGAAGUCGCUGCCUGAUGGAACCUGUGGUCACCGUCUUAUCCAUGAGACCUUGACUUUUGCUAUAACUUUCUUCCUGUUUGGGUAAAUCUUUUGAUAUUGUGCUCUAGAACUUUGCUGGUUUUCGAGAAAUCUGCUUUGGAAAUAUGGUAGUAUUUUAAUGUCUUACCUUUUUAAAGGGGAUUCUUAC